Molecule: long non-coding RNA, 1688 nt
Organism: Marmota flaviventris (yellow-bellied marmot)
Lineage: Eukaryota; Metazoa; Chordata; Mammalia; Rodentia; Sciuridae
Source: RefSeq, a predicted model, not a curated record
GCUCAACAUAAACUUUUCCUCCCCUAAAAUUGUUCUGACCAGAUCUUUUAGUCACAGUAGUGAAAAAGCUGACUGAAGCAUCAAGUAAGAUGGAGAAGACAGUGGGAGAGGCAGACAGGGAGGAUCUUCAGGAAUCCAAUGAGUAUUAGACAUCUAAUCGAGAUUCUGGAGAGACUUUGGAUAUGAGUCUGGAGUUCAAGGGACAGGUCAUGGCUGGAGACAUAAAUUUAUGACUCAUCAGUAUACAAAGGCAUUAACGCCAUGAGAUUGAUGAAAUCACCAAAGUAGUGAGUAUAUUCAUAGAGUAAAGCCCUGAGGGCAGAGCCCUCAAACUCUCCUAUAUUUCCACACUCGGUAAAUGAGAAACGAGUCAAAGAGACUGAAAUGGCUGCUGGUGAGGAAAAAGGAAAAUAAAGAAAGAAGAGGGUUGGACCACCGGAGAACUCUCAGGUCCUGCUGAAAGAGCAUGGGGGAAGAGAGCCAAGAACUCACCAUGAGAUUUAAAAACAGAGAGGUUCUUGGUGUCCUUGACAAAUGGAUUUCAAUGCACCCGUGGGAUGACCACCCGGCUGGUUCAAGACAGAGUGAGAAAAAAUAAAAUCUCAGACUUCCUGUAACCUACCAGAGGCAGCAAACCUGAGACGGGGAAGCUCCGGAUGUUAAACUCUUCUACUUCCAAUAAACUUAAAACCAUCUUUUUUCUCCAUCCUCCAAAGCAGUUUUAAAAAAUACAUUCAUUGACAAUAUUAAUUCUUACUAGUACUAGUUGAUGGCUUUCUGCUAUACUAAUUUCAGGGAUUUAAACAAAAAGUAUCAUAUUAUUUUUCUUAAGCUUACCAGUAAUCUGCAGGUAAAUUCUAAUGAGAACAUCAAGUCAAACACUGGAGUUGCUCCUUUAAAUUAGCAGAGAGCAAUGACAUCAAAAUCAUGGAAACACCCUACCCAUCUGAGAUUCUGUAUCUAGGGCCAAUCUAACCCUUCUUAGUCACUGCUGCAAAGCAGAUCAUGAGUCUGAAUGAACCUCAGAAGGAGAAAAAGAAAAAUAUAAGGACAUGACACAAAGAAUCCUAAUAAACCCUAAGAAUUUUCUGACACUAAAACUUCAGCUUUUUCCUUACUUUAAAACCCUAAAAUGACUAUUGCUUUGUGUUCAGUCCUUUACAUAUCUUGAUAUUUCUUCUGUUGCACCUCCUCCCUCUACCAUGUCCAAUGCACUACUUUAUAAGAAAAUGACAGAAGUUUAAAUUUUAAUGUGUAUUUUAUGUUGAUGAUUUCAACAGAAUGGUCCACCUUACAGCUUCUGCAUAGUAAGAUGUGUAAUAACCAUCCUGAUCUAUUUAUUCCAUAAUCCUAACACAAGAGUUCAGCCAGCUCAGUUGAGUCUCAUUCCAUAAACUGAAAGAUGAGAGUGACCACAACUGCAAGAAGUGGCCAUUAUCCAGUAUCAUAAUAUUACAAAAUAGUUUAGAAACACCUAAUGGGAAAUUGCUAGUGACAGCCACUUUUGCUUCUAGUUUUAACUUGUGACUCAUUCUGUUUAACAAUCUACUUCAUUUAUAAGCAUCAAUGAAGAACUAUUUUGCUUGACACAUUAGCAAAUUUUAAGUGCAUAGAAUCACAAAAAUUUAAUCCAAGUGAACUGUAAAUUCUUGUAAUAAUGGAGCUUCAAUAAAGCUUGAAAAAAUUAA